GACGGGGUUUCACCUUGUUAGCCAGGAUGGUCUCGAUCUCCUGACCUCGUGAUCCACCCGCCUCGGCCUCCCAAAGUGCUGGGAUUACAGGCGUGAGCCACCGCGCCCAGCCUGUAAGCCUAAAUUUUUGUGGCUGUGGGAUGGACAAGGACCCAGUCUUUAGCUGAACUAAGGAAAAGUCCUGCAACAAUAAAUUUCAGAAGUUUGAUCUUAACAGAUGAGGAGACUGAAGCCCACAGAGAUCUGAUAGAAAACAGCUGGAUGUGCUAACAGAGCAUCAGACUUGGAAUCAGGUGGAUCCUAGAUUGGCUACUUCCUAACCUCAGAAAAGUGACAUAAUGUCUAUGGUGAAGUCAUCCAUCUGAAACACAAUGCAGUGAAAUCCACUUUAAAUUUUGAUUGUGAAAGCUUUACUGAGGUUUAUUUGAUACACAAUGAUCGUAUCAUUAUGGCUACAAGAAAAGUAAUCAACAAAGUAUACACUUGGAUAAAUGUUGACAUAAGUAUAUACCUGUAAAACUAUCACUACAAUCAAGAUAAUGAACAUGUCCACGUGCUCCCAAAGUUUCUGCACAAUCCUUCCCAUCCUUCCUUGUUCUUGGAACUGCUAAUCAACUAUAGGUUAGUUUGCAUUUUCUGGAAUUUUAUAUUAAUAGAAUCAUAUAGUGUGGACUCUCUUUGGAGUUUAGUUUCCUUCACUUGGCAUAAUUAUUUUGAGAUUCACCCUUGUUGUGGCAUGUAUCAAUAGUUUAUUCUUAUUUAUUGCUGACUAGUAUUUCAUUGUAUGGGCAUACCACAGUAUGUUUAUUCCUUCAGCUCGUGGUGGAUAUUUAUAUUGUUUCCAGCUUUUUGCCUAUUGUUUUUAAAAGCUGCUAUAAAAAUUGUAUUCAUGUCUUUGCAUGAACAUAUGCUUUUAUUUAUCUUGAGUAAAUGCCUAGGAGUAGAGUGGCUGUAUCAUAAGGUAGAUGUAUAUUUAACUGUUUACGAAACUUGCUGACCAUUUUCCAAUGUGGUUGUAUACUUUACAUUCCCACCAGCAAUGUAUGGGAGUCUAUUCCUCCACAUUCACACCAAUGCUCGAUAUGGUCAGUCUUUAAUUUUAGCCAUUCUAAAAUGUUUGUAGAGUAUCUCAUUGUGUUUUUAAUUUUAAUUAAAUUUCUGAAAUAACAAA
Homo sapiens (human) is the source of this 1171-nucleotide long non-coding RNA. RefSeq annotates it as long independently transcribed non-coding RNA 1448. The transcript has 3 exons. NCBI's taxonomy places the organism in Eukaryota, Metazoa, Chordata, Mammalia, Primates, Hominidae. The record is from RefSeq and is marked validated.